UGAACACCCAGCUGCAGAGCGGAGGCUCAGAAAUGGCCAACACACAUCAGAGGCACUCAAUAGAUAUCUGGUGAAUGAAUGAGGAGUGAGUAAAUGAAUAAAGUAAAAUACAGAUGACCCUCAAUUUGGACAUAAUGCAUUCCUAGAGACUGCUUCAUAAAGGAUAUUGCUUAAAGGCAAAACACCGACUGCAAGAAUGCCACCACUUUUGUCUGUAAAAUUCAUUACAAAUUGACAGCAGAUAAAGUAGCAUAUAUAUCUCUUCAUUAGGUAACAGCAAAUAAAUGGAAAGGCAAAAGAGGGCCACAAUGAAGCAUGAACAAUGUAUAGAAUUCUAGUAAAAGAUGAUUGCAUAAGGACAUUUUUACCUUGCUUCUCUUUAUGAAAGUGUCCAUCAAUAUGAAGAAAAAGAAGGGAAGAACCACCAUCUUCUCCAUGACAGCAUGCCUAAAGCUAGUCUAAUCUUCUCUCUGUCUUGAAAGGUUUUAUGGAUCCUGUGAGUCUGCUUAUCACAGUCAUUUGAAGAGAGAAACAACAACUGCCAAUCAUGAAACAGAGGAUGUGUGAGAUAUGGGCUUGCUGUGAACCAAGAUGAUCCAAAGGGGAUGCUGAAAGCUUAGCAGAACCAAAUACUCAAAUAGAAAAAAUGUGGCUGAUUUGCUUCAACAGCUUUCCGAGAUAAUAUACCAAAGUGGAAACUGAUAGCUUCUCCAGAUCAUACUUGCUCAUUCUGUCCCCGAUUCUUGGGCAGAACUCUGGUCUAGAGAGAACUUUCCUUAUUCCAAGAAGCACCGUGAGCAGAAGACCUAAAACAAGACCCAUAGAGUAAAGGGACAUGGGAAACAAAAUGGCAAAUCUGACAUCAGAAAAAAAUGAAGAAGAAAAUAAAUAAAAAAUAUAGCCUUCAUACUUUUAAGUAAAAUGAGUGUAAGCUAGUUGCAAAAGACAUAAAAUUAAUAAAAGAUAACAACUUAAUAAAAGAUAUCAAAUCUAAUCUGUCUCUCUCACAUGCACAGACACACACACACACACACACACACACACACACACACAAAGUGUUGAAAGGAUAAUCAGGCAGGCCGAUUUUAAGAAAUAAAUGUAAAAAUAAAGUCAUCAAAAACUGUCACCGCAUUAAGAACCUAAAGGAUUAAGAAAGACAACAUAGAAAAUAGCAUCCAUGAGCAUAGAAGGCUUGAAAUAAUCACAGAAAAAGAAAUGAAACAAAAAAAUUAGAAAGCGAUUAGAUACAAUAUUAUAGAUAUGGAAGUCAGAC
Molecule: long non-coding RNA, 1273 nt
Filed under: Homo sapiens (human)
Lineage: Eukaryota; Metazoa; Chordata; Mammalia; Primates; Hominidae
Description: HSALNT0038326
Source: RNAcentral